UCAUUGAAAAGCUUGUGUGAAUUGAAGGCUUGGCUUAAUACUGUGUUAUAUCUCAGCUUAUCAUUAUUAAGUAUUUACCAUUUGACGUUAAAAAACAACAAUACUUCACAGAGAUAUCCAAGUAUAACAGAGGCUUCCAUACUGUAGCUAAUGAUCAACAGAGAAUUACCAGCCUUUCUCUGUGUGUCAAGGAGAGCCCUUAGGGAAACGUUCGUGUGCGUGUGUGUGUGUGUGUGUGUGGUAUGGAAAGAUAUAAUUGCUUAAGUACAGCCUCUCUCUCUCUCUCUCUCUCUCUCUCUCUCUCUCUCUCUCUCUCUCUCUCUCUCUCUCUCUCUCUCUCUCUCUACGUAUUUUGCUUGUCUGCCCUCGUGUGUGUGUGUGUGUGUAUCUCAUUUAUUUAUUUAAGUUAUUUUUCCACAGUGAUGUAACGCCCUUAGGGAAACGUUCGUGUGCGUGUGUGUGUGUGUGUGUGGUAUGGAAAGAUAUAAUUGCUUAAGUACAGCCUCUCUCUCUCUCUCUCUCUCCAUAUUUUGCCUGUCUGCCCUCGUGUGUGUGUGUGUGUGUGUAUCUCAUUUAUUUAUUUAAGUUAUUUUUCUUCUUCACGCAGAUAGUAAUUGACGAACACAACACACCACGUGGAGAGAAGCAAGGUGUGGAGUACCCAAGCCUCUCACAGUCCAUGCUAGUAGACUCACCCUGCAUGUGGAGAUCUCCCAAAAUGCACGGAGGUUAUUCCAGAGCUGCAGGACAGAGUACUUGAAGCCAUUGGUGAACAGAAAGCUGAGGUUGAACAAAGCCAAGAAUUGAUAGCUGCCCAAGGUGUAAGCAAGAUUCACAAUGAUGAGGUCAUUGUGACGUGUGCAAUGUGUCCACUGGUCUUGGCCUUCCUGACCAAGGCAGCCACACAAAGGAAAUUCCACGUUAUUGUUGCCGAACGUGCCCCUAAAUAUGAUGGUCACCCAGUGGCAAAAGCUUUAUGUACUGCUGGAAUUGAGACAACAUUAAUUCAAGACUCUGCAGUGUUCCCCAUCAUGUCACGUGUCAACAAGGUCAUCAAAGGUCAUCGUUGGCACCGAGACGGUGGUGACCAACGGAGGCAUUGAGACCUUUGUUGGUGCAGCCUCUCUUGCCUCACCACCAAAGUUUUAUUCUGUUCCACUGUAUGUGUGCACUCCCACAUACAAAUUUAGCUUGAUGGGCUGUGAAGAAAUAAGCCACCAAACCACCACUUCUAUUAUCCCAGAGGGAACAAAGUUUUGGCCGUCUGUAAAUACUGCGCUGACUCAGCUAGAUUACGUUCCUCCAGAAAAUGUCACCAGUUUGAUAACUAACAAGUGAGUUUGUGUUGUUCAUAUGACUGUGUGGUCCUUUCAAGGUGUGAUGUUGGGGGUUCAUUUAAUUUUUUCAUUUGCUUUCCUUGUUGGGCCUGGGUUGACCUCAGGAGACAUCAGUAUUUGUCAGCUUUAUGCACAAACUGUUAUUUAGCACUGUACUUCAUCUCCCAGUAAAACUUCUGAUCCUAAAUGCAUCAAAUGAAAGGCCUUUAUGUUUUACUUAUGAGUGAGAUAAACAACUUACUCAAUUUAUUAUACAGUAAAAUCCCUCUGUAUUAUGUGGACAUAUGAAAUUAUGUGGACAUAAUUUCACUUCUAUUCAAGUAUCCGGCACUUCGGCGGUCCCAUUGAUGCCGGAUAAGAGGGAUUUUACUGUACCCUGUUUAUCUUGCACAUCUACUCACUUAGCUUUAAAUAAUGGCUGCUGACCAUUUAAAUCUCUUUUAUUUCAGUCGAGGUACUGCACCAUCCUACGUGUACCGGCAGCUUAGCGAACUGUACCGUCCCACUUCUUGUGUAACAAGAAGGUAACAGCUUUAAUCCUUGCAAAUAAGGAAUAAGAGAAAAGAGACACACCUGCCAUUUGUACUGUUAUGCUGUAGUGUUCUGUCAUUUUUUUCCUCUUUUAUCCUAGAACCAUUUUUGGUCAUUCAUGUUUCUAAAAAUUAUUAUACAAAAAUGUUGAGCUUAAUAUGUUUGGUGUAGUUUUUUGUAACAUGUGUUAUUGUUAAUGUGUGUGGUUCCCCUCAGGAAGAAUGUUGCAGUAUUAGCAGUAAUGUUACAGCCAAUGGAAGUGUCUGUAUUGUGCUUUGGUGGGAGGUUAAUUUGAUGUAUUUUUAGAGUUGUGCAGGAUAUUAUAGCAAGCCCUCAAAAUAAAGAAAAUAACUAUAGAAAACA
This is a long non-coding RNA of Scylla paramamosain (green mud crab), 2231 nucleotides long. RefSeq lists it as uncharacterized. The record is from RefSeq and is a predicted model, not a curated record. The transcript is spliced from 4 exons. Lineage: Eukaryota; Metazoa; Arthropoda; Malacostraca; Decapoda; Portunidae.